UUUUUCCUAUCGAGCUGACACAUAUAUAUAUACAAAACUCAUACCUAGCUACAUGUAUACCACAUGUCUGUGUUUGUGUUUGUGUGUGUACAUGUGGAUGUGUACAUGAAACGAAGUGGAUGAAACAAAUGCGUGUGAUUUGUUUUACGAAUUGCGAUGAUAAGGCCCACGCCGUUUUCGCUUUGACCAGAAACACAACACAAAGGCACUACAACAGCAAAGAGGUGUGUCCUACUGAAGCUGCCCACUAGUUAUUCGAUGUACUGAGGUCUGCCUGAAAAAAUACCCGCCCACCAAGCACUGUGUUUAUCCACCGGCUUUAGGAAAUCUGCUAUUGAGAAAAAUAUGAGGGAGACGAAGAGAUAAAUCUAAUACGUCAGUACUUUAUACAUAUCGAUUGGUCGAUUUAGAUUGGAUAAAAAAAACUAUAUUGACCUCGGCGAGGUUUGAACUCAAGACGCAGCACUCCAUAAAUAUGUGAUGGAUGUGUGAAUCUUGCUUUGAAUGUAUCACUUGUUACUUCGAUGUUUCACUUCAUAUUUAGUCCUCCUACAUAACUAUUGCCUUGAAAGAACACGAGCUUACGUCAGCUCCCAUUUUAAAGACAUGGUUUUGAUCAGUUGCCGUUAUAUUUGAUUUUGACUGUGUGCUACAUAAACGGUUAUUUAAAGCUGUUGAUUGGUUUGGGUUCUUUGGGCACCGAAAUCUAACUUUCGUAUUCUUCCGAUUUUAGACAACGAGAAUAUUAUCAAUGUCAGAUACACCAACCAAUUGACCAAUAAGUAUUUAAUAACACUGCAGUAAUUUUUAAAAAGAGAUUUUAAAAAGAAGAAACACUCGACAACCUGGAUCUACCAUCGAAUCUAGCUACGGAAAACAGGAAGGCCAACGAAUUAGCAAAUGAGAAAACGACACCCAUAGACACAAACAUAAUAAAAUAACAUUUAGAAAUCUAAACUAUAAGUAUAUACAAAUAUAUGAAUACGAUUCAUUAUUCAUUUUAAAAGUUCACGAAAUACAAUGAAAGUUUCAAAAUAAAUUUACAUUGUUUAUCUCGGGCAUCCGUAAAAAGAAGCAAUAAUCUUAUAUCCCCGGACAUACAGAAAGACGACAUCACAGAGAUAGAAGGUUUAGCUUCGAAGUCACUAUCCACGUUUGACCUCAGUUGAACGAUUCCAUCUGCAAAUCACACUAUUGAUUUCUCACAUAAGCAUAAUGUCUCCCGUUUUGCUGGAGAAGGAAACAGAUGAUUAUAUUGAUCCCACUCCUUGAGGCCUACUUCUUGCAUCGACUUUCGCAUGGGACAACAAGGAAUAUCAGCCCCCAACAGGAUUUGAACUUAAAAUGCAACGGGACGUAUUUGACUGCGGCCGUGCUGGAGCACCGCGUUUAGUCGAGCAAAUCGACUCCAGGAUUUAUUCAUUGUAAGCUUAAUACUUAUUCUAUCGGUGUCUUUUGCCGAACCGCUAAGUAACGGGGACGUAAACACACAAGCAUCGGUUGUCAAGCGAUGUUGGGUGGGGGUACAAACACAGGCACACAAGCACACAUACGCACACACACACACACACACAUAUAUACCAGAGAGAGAGAGAGUGAGAGGAGAGCGGAAUAAAUAGAUAGAGAGAGAUAUACGUACAUACACACGCACACACGUACACACACACACACACACACAUAAUACACCUUUGUAUAAUUUCAUACCUUCACGCUACAUAGUCUUUUUCUCUAUUUCUCUUAAUCUAUCUCUCUCUUUCUCGCUUUCUCCCUCUCAUACACACUCACAUACAUACACACGUAUGCACACAUACACACUCGCAUAUAUACAUGCGCAUGUAUACACGCACACACACACACACAAACGUACGCUUGCGCACACGCGCACACACAUUCUCGCAACCCGCUCUGCCACCCCCCCCCCUCCGCUUCUCAUCUGCAGCAUCUUUUCCAUCACCUGAUUGCAGAACACUUUGCUGUGCCACGAGAUUUAACUCUCAGCAAAAUAUAAGCACUAAUAGCAUAUUCAAAGACCCAGUCUUCGCUCACAGAUUUGCACUAAUGCUAAAUAGCAGCAUGAUUAUUGGGAGAGCGAGAGUGAGGGAGAGAGAGAGAGAGAGAGAGAGUGAGAGAGAACGAGUGGGAGGGAGAGUUAGAGAAAGUGUGUGAAAGAGCGUGUGUUAUCUGUUGUGAGAGCUUUCUCCCUUUCCCUCUCUCUCUCUCUCACUUAUUCUCUCUCUCUCACUUAUUCUCUCUCUCUCACUUAUUCUCUCUCUCUCACUUAUUCUCUCUCUCUCUCUCACUUAUUCUCUCUCUCUCUCUCACUUAUUCUCUCUCUCUCUCUCACUUAUUCUCUCUUUUUCUCUGUCUCUCUCUGUCUCUCUCUCUGAAGAUUUACGUAGAUUCAUAUAAACGGUUGCUAAAUAAGAAAAAAAGCAAUGGAGAGACGAAGAGAGAGACAGAGAGAGAGAGAGAAGGGGGGAGGGGAGAGACUUGGGAAGGAGAGAAUGUUUCAAGGAACGCGAGGACGAGGGAGAAGAGAGAAAGGACUAAGCAAAGAAGAGGAGAAGAAGGUGUGAGAGAGUAAUGAUGAGGUACAUGGAGGGGGAGGCUAACAGAGAAAGAAAGAAAGAAAGAAAGAAAGAAAGAAAGAAAGAAAGAAAGAAAGAAAGAUAGAAAGAAAAAAGGCAUAAUGGGUGGUAGAAAGAGGAAAGACAUUGGCUGGAUGACAGAGAGAAAGAUAGAGAGUAAGAAUGAUAGAGAAAGAGGAAGAGAAAGAGAGAGAUAUGGAAAGUAGACGGGUGAGAGGGAAGGGGAAGGGGUAUGUUUGCUCGUUUCGUCGUCCUUAUAUCUGAGAUAUUGUAACACAACACUAUGAAUGUAGGUCGUAACCGGGGAGGAAUCAGAUAAGGGUUCCAAUUUCACCUCAUCUCAGUAAUGCCACACCCAGCGCCACCACCACUGCUAAAACUACUACUACGACAGCUAAUAAUAAUAAUAAUAAUAAUAAUAAUAAUAAUAAUAAUAAUAAUAAUAAUAGUUUUUUUUUUACCCCUGUGUCACUUUGAUGGCAUGCGCUGCUCUCUUACUUAACAAUAAUAAUAAUAAUGCCCUGAUGCAGUACCAGGCAGUGGCUCUCAUGGCUUCUCAUCUUAACUGAUUGGAAGUGUUAUCAUGCACAUUGUUUUGUCUUGGUAUAAAAGAUGGGCUACAGCAAAUAUUCUGCUUAAUACGAUAGAUCUGCUGGUUAGUUGUUUGACCUUAAAUAGUUGAACAUGUCCCUUAGUAGCUGAGGAUAUGUGCAUAUCUGAUCACGAGCAGAAGUAGUGAGGAAGCAUCAUAGUCAUGUGUUGAGAGGAAAUGUUGGGGGUUUGGAUAUUUCACCUGUGGAAACAUGGGUGUUUCGUUCAACAUCCUUAAACUACCCUUAUUCAGAAACCUUUUGAGCGGGAUAGGCUACGCGACCUGAAGAAAAUUCUCUCUCUGAGAGAUUUAGAAUUAAUAAUGUUUCUAUUUAUUAGAUCAGUGAUUGUGUGUCACAUUGAAAACUAUGUAUUUUCGAACGGGAUGUCAGUAGCGCCGUAUAGCCAAGCAGCUAAUGUGUGGUGAGAAAGUGCAAUAACCCAGAAACCAGUCCACAGAUGUUGCCUUGUGAUGGAACUGGGUGCUGAGCUCCCCUGUUCGAAAAUAUAAGGACGCAUAUUGUGUCGUAUAGCCAGCUGGAAACGACGUUUCCUGGGGCUAAACAACAGUAACAUUCGUCCCAUCCAGGACUGCCACAUUAUGUUAUCAAAUAGUCUUUACUUUAAAGAGAUGUUACUGAAUAUCUCUCUUUGAGAGAUUUAGAUAUAAUAAUGUAUCUGUUUAUUAGAUCAGUGGUCUACUAUGUGUGUGUGUGUGUGUGUGUGUGUGUGUGUGUGUGUGUGUGUGUGUGUGUGUGUGUGUGUGUGUGUGUGAUUGAAAUUUCGUUGACAGAAAUUGUAGGAAAGACCGUCGAUGAGACGGUUGGUGUUCCCAUGUCGCAGUCUUAAUCUGCUUCCCGUUUUCAUCCAACCAGUUGACCCUUGGAUGCCUUUAGAGAAUCUGCUUUUUUGCAAACAUUCGAUCAGGUCUCCUGUUUAAGAACAACUUCAUUUAAUCAUCCCAAAUUUCUCACAAGUCCUCCAACGGAUCAUGUCUGCUGCCUUACUAUCAAUAAUUAAGCUAUUACAACAAAAACCAAGCAAAAACACUAUCGAAGCAAGCCAAUCAGUUCCUGCUCUCGACCGGUUUUGCUUUUUAAAUAACCUUGAAGAUUUUGGUGCGUUGCCAAGCAAUUGUUUUUAUCCAUAUUUUUUCUCAUCUAAUUAGGAGAUAGCAAACAAAGCAUAUCUAAUUGUAAUUAUUGUCGCGAGAGUAGCUAGUUGGCAAGACUGAAGGAGCCCCAAACUAAAACCUUUCUGCUACCUUUUUAUACCUUUUUAUGCCUUCAUAUCUAUCAUUUUAUACAAUAAACAAUACGAAUGCAUUAUUAAACCAACAGCCUUAUUGUUCGCAGGAUUGUAUUGAUAUAAAAAGUUAUUACUAUAAUUAAUUAUGUGCGAUUGUAGAUGAGUUAAGAAAACACAUGUGUCAUGUUUAGUAACGAGCCUGUAUCUCCAGAGUUCAAAACCCACCGAAUUUCGAUCUAUCUAUUCUUAUGGUUGAAAUAAAUAUAAGAGAUGCUGAUUUUUGUAGGUGUUCUAGCUUCACACUUGCACCAAUCUUUUUCAGUCAUGUUCGUGGUUGAGUGUUCAUAUUUCCAAAUGCACCAAUUACUGUUGGUUUCUCCUCAUUGACCAAAAGCUUCGUAUUUCCCGCAUCAAAUUGCCAUAGCUGUUUCUUCUUCUUCUUCUUCUUCUUCUUCUUCUUCUUCUUCUUCUUCUUCUUCUUCUUCUUCUUCUUCUUCUUAUUAUUAUUAUUAUUAUUAUUAUUAUUAUUAUUAUUAUUAUUAUUAUUAUUAUUAUUAUUAUUAUUAUUAUUAUUAUUAUUAUUAUUAUUAUUAUUUCCGCUGGGGCCGACUUUGCCUUUCAUCCUUUCGAGGUCGAUAAAUUAAAUGCCAGUGAAACACUGGGGUCGAUGUAAUAGACUAGUCGCCUCCCCAAAAAAAUUUCAGGCUUGUGCUUUUAGUAGAAUGGAUGAUCAUCAUCAUUAUUAUUAUUAUUAUUAUUAUUAUUAUUAUUAUUAUUAUUAUUAUUAUUAUUAUUAUUAUUAUCAUUAUUAC
Molecule: long non-coding RNA, 5239 nt
Organism: Octopus bimaculoides (California two-spot octopus)
Lineage: Eukaryota; Metazoa; Mollusca; Cephalopoda; Octopoda; Octopodidae
Source: RefSeq, a predicted model, not a curated record